RNAcentral lists this ribosomal RNA (476 nucleotides) under Burkholderiaceae bacterium oral taxon D14. RNAcentral's name for it is "bacterial SSU rRNA". It matches the Rfam family "Bacterial small subunit ribosomal RNA", at positions 30 to 500 of the family's 1533-position model. The record is from RNAcentral. Lineage: Bacteria; Pseudomonadati; Pseudomonadota; Betaproteobacteria; Burkholderiales; Burkholderiaceae.
AUUGAACGCUGGCGGCAUGCCUUACACAUGCAAGUCGAACGGCAGCACGGAGCUUGCUCUGGUGGCGAGUGGCGAACGGGUGAGUAAUAUAUCGGAACGUACCCUGGAGUGGGGGAUAACGUAGCGAAAGUUACGCUAAUACCGCAUACGAUCUACGGAUGAAAGUGGGGGAUCGCAAGACCUCAUGCUCGUGGAGCGGCCGAUAUCUGAUUAGCUAGUUGGUAGGGUAAAAGCCUACCAAGGCAUCGACCAGUAGCUGGUCUGAGAGGACGACCAGCCACACUGGAACUGAGACACGGUCCAGACUCCUACGGGAGGCAGCAGUGGGGAAUUUUGGACAAUGGGCGAAAGCCUGAUCCAGCAAUGCCGCGUGAGUGAAGAAGGCCUUCGGGUUGUAAAGCUCUUUUGUCAGGGAAGAAACGGUGAGAGCUAAUACCUCUUGCUAAUGACGGUACCUGAAGAAUAGCACCGGCUAA